GUGCCAGCCGCCGCGGUAAUACCGGCAGCCCGAGUGAUGGCCGAUCUUAUUGGGCCUAAAGCGUCCGUAGCUGGCCGACCAAGUCUCCCGGGAAAUCCACCCGCCCAACGAAUGGGCGUCCGACGGAAACUGCACAGCUUGGGACCGGAAGGCUCGAGAGGUACGUCCGGGGUAGGAGUGAAAUCCCGUAAUUCCGAACGGACCACCGAUGGCGAAAGCAUCUCGAGAAAACGGAUCCGACAGUGAGGGACGAAAGCUAGGGUCUCGAACCGGAUUAGAUACCCGAGUAGUCC
This 293-nucleotide ribosomal RNA is filed under the name uncultured bacterium. Its description in RNAcentral is "partial 16S ribosomal RNA". It matches the Rfam family "Archaeal small subunit ribosomal RNA", at positions 455 to 747 of the family's 1478-position model. The record is from RNAcentral.